RNAcentral lists this unclassified non-coding RNA (228 nucleotides) under Hevea brasiliensis (rubber tree). Lineage: Eukaryota; Viridiplantae; Streptophyta; Magnoliopsida; Malpighiales; Euphorbiaceae. The record is from RNAcentral.
AAAAAAAAAACAAACAGAUUGUUGGAUUGAUAGUAAGAUGACAGAAUUUAUCAGAACCAACAUGGCACAUAUCGGAGGACUACAAUGAUUGGUAUACUAUGCUGAAAAUGUUAGCAUCAUAGGUUCGCAUUUGCCACUAUUUUAUAUUGACUUGUACUGGACAGCUUGUUGCUUAUUCUUCAUUAUGUUAAUUUCAUUCCGACUUGGAUGGAGCUUCUUCAUCUGCAA